AUGCCGGUGCCUGAUGCUACAUCCCGCACGCUCCCUCCCAAUCAGGUGCCCCUUUCCAAGGCUUAUGAUCCAUGUCCUAUUUGCAAAGCUACUAGUCAUUCUCCCACUAGUUGCCCGCAAGCUUUUUGUGAAAGGUGUAGCAAGCUGGGGCACUUGGCAUCGGUGUGUGUUACCUUUUUACCUUGGGAGUGCGUUGCACCCAUGUGUGCCUUCCAGGCCAAGGGACAGGGGUUCUUUUACAUCCCUGAUUCAUGCACUGCUAAACAGCUUAAGGAAAGAGCUACUAGUGUUGUGAUUACUGUCAUUGAGGGGGAAGCUAGUGUUAAGGAGUUAGAAGAAGCGUUUUCUGAUUACAUUAGGACUAAGUGGCAUUGUACUGCCUGUACUAUUGGUCCUAAUACUUAUGUGAUGAGAUUUCUCAAUCAAAGGGAUGUGAAAAAAGCAUGUUACAAUGAUAGGAUGAUCCUUAAAUCUUGCGGUGUAGUUGUUAAAAUUGUUCCCUGGUCGGCCAACAUUGGGGCUAAGGGAGUCAUGGAGAUGGCCUGGGUUAAAGUAGCUAAUAUUCCACUGGAAAGAAGAAAUGAGAGGAAUGUCGCCUAUGUUUCUUCCCUGGUGGGCGUCCCGCUCGAGAUCGACAUGGCCACCCAGGGGUAG
This 654-nucleotide ribosomal RNA is filed under the name Triticum aestivum (bread wheat). RNAcentral describes it as "partial small subunit ribosomal RNA". Lineage: Eukaryota; Viridiplantae; Streptophyta; Magnoliopsida; Poales; Poaceae. The record is from RNAcentral.